GACGAACGCUGGCGGCGUGCUUAACACAUGCAAGUCGAACGGAAAGGCCCUGCUUUUGUGGGGUGCUCGAAUGGCGAACGGGUGAGUAACACGUGAGUAACCUGCCCCUGACUUUGGGAUAACUUCAGGAAACUGGGGCUAAUACCGGAUAGGAGCUCCUGCUGCAUGGUGGGGGUUGGAAAGUUUCGGCGGUUGGGGAUGGACUCGCGGCUUAUCAGCUUGUUGGUGGGGUAGUGGCUUACCAAGGCUUUGACGGGUAGCCGGCCUGAGAGGGUGACCGGCCACAUUGGGACUGAGAUACGGCCCAGACUCCUACGGGAGGCAGCAGUGGGGAAUAUUGCACAAUGGGCGGAAGCCUGAUGCAGCAACGCCGCGUGCGGGAUGACGGCCUUCGGGUUGUAAACCGCUUUCGCCUGUGACGAAGCGUGAGUGACGGUAAUGGGUAAAGAAGCACCGGCUAACUACGUG
Molecule: ribosomal RNA, 468 nt
Filed under: uncultured bacterium
Lineage: Bacteria
Description: partial 16S ribosomal RNA
Rfam family: Bacterial small subunit ribosomal RNA
Source: RNAcentral